Long non-coding RNA from Wyeomyia smithii (pitcher-plant mosquito), 1574 nucleotides. RefSeq lists it as uncharacterized. Lineage: Eukaryota; Metazoa; Arthropoda; Insecta; Diptera; Culicidae. The transcript is spliced from 4 exons. The record is from RefSeq and is a predicted model, not a curated record.
CUAGAUUGGUGCCAGAUAUUUUAUUUGCGUUUUGCUGGAUUCAAUUUUAAAUCAAGUGGCAACCCUGGUGACGGCUAAAGAAUCAAUAUUCUUCUCUCUAUAUUUCUCGUGCAAAACCCAAACAAACAUCAGCAGCUUCAUAAUUCGACAACGAAGCUCAAAAAAUUUCAGAGGCUGCUCACACUUAUGUAAUUCCCAUAUAAAUUGUCAACACGUUCGUGAUCAAAGUAUUUAGAACUAAACUAACUCUUCAAAAUACUUUGGUGCGUGAUGACAAAAGCGAAAAUAUAUCUUUCCUUAUUACUCUCAUGCAAAAUAUCAAACAAAUAUCAGCAGCGUCGUAGUAUCGGUUGUAUCGAAUACUGAGUAACACGAUGAGACAUUUCCGACAUUUCGAAGCUUGCCUACUCCAGCACACACAUUUCGCAUUGACAGUGUUGCUGAUAUUUGUUUGAUUUUUGCAUGUGAAAAAGAUGGAAGGAAGGCUUUCGUCAUCACGCACAUUUUGGCAAUACAUACGAGAGUUCACGUUGGUGCGAACAGCCUUCAAUAUCUCUUUUAAUCUCGACAACACGAAUUUUCUUGGCAACUGUUAACAUAUUUUGGUAUUUCCGGUCAGUAUUACUUCGAGAACAGGAAUAAGCGAUGCACGUGUUAUUGGAAACAGUUUGAAAUAUUUUAUUUUCUGGUGGAUUACUAUCUGAACGAUUGCAUUUAAUUGAAUAAUUCAGCAAAAGGCUUUUUCAACUUUAGUGAGGAUUUUUUUUAGUGAAAUCGGUAAAUAGAAAGUGAUUGAUCUGUUCCAUAAUUAUUGAGACAUUCGGGAGAAAUCGAUGUUCACAAAGCUGCCAUUUUGUCAAAACCGACCAGUGUUUUGUUUCAACCAAGAAAAUAAGUUUAGAUAAUCAACAGCCUAAGAAAACGGCGAAGCAUUUCGUAGCUGCUGUUCGUUUUUAAUGAAAGUCGCCGUCGCUACCUUUUACCGUCACAAACCACCAACCAGCGGAUUCAAUUCAACUUUUCAUUCGGAGUCGAGGUGUGGAUGUGUAGCUGCAGUGACAGAUUUUGUAAUCACAAGUUCGAAAACCAGCGAUACGCUACGUAACAGCUGUAUAUAUAUAUUGUCGAAAAUUGAUGGAAGGAGCCGUCUUGCCACUACGAACAACAUCGAUUUAACUAAGAAACGAGUCUAGUUUGCCAACUUUGCGAUGGCAUCCGCGAAAAAAAAAAUGCGCAAUCGCAUAGACUCAUAUUUCUUCGAGAGAGAAACAGAAGUGUUGAAGGAAAGCGUUUCUGCCGUUAAAGAAAAAUCCACCGAAAAUACGGUCGUAGAAAUUGACAUUGUUGAUAGAACUAGAAAUGAGGACCCACUAGAAGAGAGUACACCAGUAUUGGAUACUAUUGGUGGAAAAUUAAAAAUCAUCUGUUAUGGAAACAUUUCAAACGAGAAGACCCAAAAAAUGUAAAAUGUCUGUGAUGCGGUGCAAAACUUCAAACCAAAGACUCAUCUACAACGGCUCUUCACACCCAUUUAAAAAGUCGUCACAAAUCAAUUUACAUCGACUAUACCGUAG